UGAGUACGAGACGCUAAGGCGUUGAAGCAGUCUAUGUCAGACUUCCAAGAAAAGCUCGCAAUGUCAUAACAAGAAAUGCCUGUACCAUAACCGACACAGGUGGGUAGGUAGAGUAUACUAAGGGGCGCGAGAUAACUCUCUCUAAGGAACUCGGCAAAAUGACUCCGUAACUUCGGGAGAAGGAGUGCCUUAUUUUUAUAAGGUUGCAAUAACAAGAUCCAAGCAACUGUUUACCAAAAACACAGGUCUCCGCUAAGUCGUAAGACGAUGUAUGGGGGCUGACGCCUGCCCAGUGCCAGAAGGUUAAAGAAGUUGGUUAGUUUCGGCGAAGCUGAUGACUGAAGCCCUGGUGAACGGCGGCCGUAACAAUAACGGUCCUAAGGUAGCGAAAUUCCUUGUCGGGUAAGUUCCGACCCGCACGAAAGGCGUAAUGAUUUGGAUACUGUCUCGGAGAGGGGCUCGGUGAAAUAGACUUGUCUGUGAAGAUGCGGACUACCUGCACCUGGACAGAAAGACCCUAUGAAGCUUUACUGUAACUUGAGAUUGAAAUUGGACUUUAUUUGCGCAGUAUAGGUGGGAGACGUUGAGAAUAUUCUUGCGGGAAUAUUGGAGUCAUCAGUGAGAUACCACUCUUGUAAUGUUAGAUUUCUAACUUUGUAUCAUUAUCUGGUCAAAGGACAGUUUCAGGCGGGCAGUUUGACUGGGGCGGUCGCCUCCCAAACGGUAACGGAGGCGCACAAAGGUUUCCUCUGAACGUGUAGAAAUCGUAUCUAGAGUGUAAAGGCAUAAGGAAGCUUGACUGUGAGACCUACAAGUCGAGCAGGGACGAAAGUCGGUCUUAGUGAUCUGACGGUGCUGAGUGGAAAGGCCGUCACUCAACGGAUAAAAGUUACUCUAAGGAUAACAGGCUGAUCUCCCCCAAGAGUUCACAUCGACGGGGAGGUUUGGCACCUCGAUGUCGGCUCAUCGCAUCCUGGGGCGGUAGUACGUCCCAAGGGUUGGGCUGUUCGCCCAUGAAAGCGGUACGCGAGCUGGGUUCAGAACGUCGUGAGACAGUUCGGUCCAUAUCCGGUGUAGGCGUUAGAAUAUUGAGAGGAGCCUUCUUUAGUACGAGAGGACCGAGAAGGACAUACCUCUGGUGUACCAGUUAUCGUGCCAACGGUAAACGCUGGGUAGCUAUGUAUGGAGUGGAUAACCGCUGAAAGCAUCUAAGUGGGAAGCCCACCUCAAGAUAAGUAUUCUC
RNAcentral lists this ribosomal RNA (1243 nucleotides) under metagenome. RNAcentral's name for it is "bacterial LSU rRNA". It matches the Rfam family "Bacterial large subunit ribosomal RNA", at positions 1564 to 2815 of the family's 2925-position model. The record is from RNAcentral.